UCAUCGGAUUCGCCAUCAUACGUCCAACCGUGCAUUUGAUAUGCAUAUAUAUGCAUCACGAGCCACGGUUGGGCUGUAUGAUGGCGAUACCGAUUGG
Molecule: microRNA precursor, 97 nt
Filed under: Triticum urartu
Lineage: Eukaryota; Viridiplantae; Streptophyta; Magnoliopsida; Poales; Poaceae
Description: MIR9666 microRNA precursor family
Rfam family: MIR9666 microRNA precursor family
Source: Rfam by way of RNAcentral